This 253-nucleotide ribosomal RNA is filed under the name uncultured bacterium. RNAcentral's name for it is "partial 16S ribosomal RNA". It matches the Rfam family "Bacterial small subunit ribosomal RNA", at positions 524 to 776 of the family's 1533-position model. The record is from RNAcentral.
UACGAAGGGGGCUAGCGUUGCUCGGAAUCACUGGGCGUAAAGCGCACGUAGGCGGCUUUUUAAGUUAGGGGUGAAAUCCUGGAGCUCAACUCCAGAACUGCCUUUGAUACUGAGAAGCUUGAGUCCGGGAGAGGUGAGUGGAACUGCGAGUGUAGAGGUGAAAUUCGUAGAUAUUCGCAAGAACACCAGUGGCGAAGGCGGCUCACUGGCCCGGUACUGACGCUGAGGUGCGAAAGCGUGGGGAGCAAACAGG